RNAcentral lists this ribosomal RNA (492 nucleotides) under uncultured bacterium. RNAcentral's name for it is "partial 16S ribosomal RNA". It matches the Rfam family "Bacterial small subunit ribosomal RNA", at positions 29 to 507 of the family's 1533-position model. The record is from RNAcentral.
AGUGAACGCUGGCGGUAGGCCUAACACAUGCAAGUCGAACGGCAGCACAGUAAGAGCUUGCUCUUACGGGUGGCGAGUGGCGGACGGGUGAGGAAUACAUCGGAAUCUACUUUUUCGUGGGGGAUAACGUAGGGAAACUUACGCUAAUACCGCAUACGACCUACGGGUGAAAGCAGGGGAUAUUCGGACCUUGCGCGAUUGAAUGAGCCGAUGUCGGAUUAGCUAGUUGGCGGGGUAAAGGCCCACCAAGGCGACGAUCCGUAGCUGGUCUGAGAGGAUGAUCGGCCACACUAGAACUGAGACACGGUCCAGACUCCUACGGGAGGCAGCAGUGGGGAAUAUUGGACAAUGGGCGCAAGCCUGAUCCAGCCAUACCGCGUGUGUGAAGAAGGCCUUCGGGUUGUAAAGCCCUUUUGUUGGGAAAGAAAAGCAGCAGGUUAAUACCCCGCUGUUCUGACGGUACCCAAAGAAUAAGCACCGGCUAACUUCGUG